RNAcentral lists this ribosomal RNA (492 nucleotides) under uncultured bacterium. Its description in RNAcentral is "partial 16S ribosomal RNA". It matches the Rfam family "Bacterial small subunit ribosomal RNA", at positions 29 to 507 of the family's 1533-position model. The record is from RNAcentral.
AGUGAACGCUGGCGGUAGGCCUAACACAUGCAAGUCGAACGGCAGCACAGUAAGAGCUUGCUCUUACGGGUGGCGAGUGGCGGACGGGUGAGGAAUACAUCGGAAUCUACUUUUUCGUGGGGGAUAACGUAGGGAAACUUACGCUAAUACCGCAUACGACCUACGGGUGAAAGCAGGGGAUCUUCGGACCUUGCGCGAUUGAACGAGCCGAUGUCGGAUUAGCUAGUUGGCGGGGUAAAGGCCCACCAAGGCGACGAUCCGUAGCUGGUCUGAGAGGAUGAUCAGCCACACUGGAACUGAGACACGGUCCAGACUCCUACGGGAGGCAGCAGUGGGGAAUAUUGGACAAUGGGCGCAAGCCUGAUCCAGCCAUACCGCGUGGGUGAAGAAGGCCUUCGGGUUGUAAAGCCCUUUUGCUGGGAAAGAAAAGCAGCAGGUUAAUACCCCGCUGUUCUGACGGUACCCAAAGAAUAAGCACCGGCUAACUUCGUG